RNAcentral lists this ribosomal RNA (459 nucleotides) under uncultured bacterium. RNAcentral's name for it is "partial 16S ribosomal RNA". It matches the Rfam family "Bacterial small subunit ribosomal RNA", at positions 338 to 795 of the family's 1533-position model. The record is from RNAcentral.
CCUACGGGAGGCUGCAGUGAGGAAUAUUGGUCAAUGGACGCAAGUCUGAACCAGCCAUGCCGCGUGCAGGAAGACGGCUCUAUGAGUUGUACACUGCUUUUGUACGAGGGUAAACGCAGCUACGCGUAUCUGUCUGAAAGUAUCGUACGAAUAAGGAUCGGCUAACUCCGUGCCAGCAGCCGCGGUAAUACGGAGGAUUCAAGCGUUAUCCGGAUUUAUUGGGUUUAAAGGGUGCGCAGGCGGGAGAUCAAGUCAGCGGUAAAAUGUCGGGGCUCAACCCCGGCCGGCCGUUGAAACUGGUGUUCUAGAGUUGGAGAGAAGUAUGCGGAAUUCGUGGUGUAGCGGUGAAAUGCAUAGAUAUCACGAAGAACUCCGAUUGCGAAGGCAGCAUACCGGCUCCAUACUGACGCUGAGGCACGAAAGCGUGGGGAUCGAACAGGAUUAGAUACCCGUGUAGUC